This 464-nucleotide ribosomal RNA is filed under the name uncultured bacterium. Its description in RNAcentral is "bacterial SSU rRNA". It matches the Rfam family "Bacterial small subunit ribosomal RNA", at positions 917 to 1382 of the family's 1533-position model. The record is from RNAcentral.
GGGCCCGCACAAGCGGUGGAGCAUGUGGUUCAAUUCGACGCAACGCGAAGAACCUUACCCAGGCUUGAACAGCGAGUGACCACUCCUGAAAGGGAGCUUCCGCAAGGACACUCGUAGAGGUGCUGCAUGGCUGUCGUCAGCUCGUGUCGUGAGAUGUUGGGUUAAGUCCCGCAACGAGCGCAACCCUUGUCUGCUGUUGCCAUCAGGUUAUGCUGGGCACUCUGCAGAGACUGCCGGUGAUAAACCGGAGGAAGGUGGGGAUGACGUCAAGUCAGCAUGGCCUUUAUGUCUGGGGCCACACACGUGCUACAAUGGCAGAUACAAACCGUCGCGAGACCGUAAGGUGGAGCUAAUCGGAGAAAGUCUGUCUCAGUUCGGAUAGCAGGCUGCAACUCGCCUGCUUGAAGUUGGAAUCGCUAGUAAUCGCGGAUCAGCACGCCGCGGUGAAUACGUUCCCGGGCCUU